CACGUUCCCUGGGGACUGCUGCAGCUUCCUGGAAAGGCUGGAUGUUGGAGAAAGGCUCAGGUCUGCACUGGGGUUCCCCUCUUCCAAGUCCAUAUCAGCUUGAAUACAUUUGUUCACCUUUUGAACAGAUCUUCUGGAUGCUGCUUUGUGGUGAUUCGGGCAUUGCAUGUUUGAUAGCAGGUCCUCUGUAUCUUGCCCCAGUCCCAUUUUCCUGCUCUACAAGACAAGGAGGAGGUGCAUGAAUUAGCAAAGUUCCCCACAACCGCCAGCUACUGCCGGCUCCCACAGAGAAACAGAGAAGUAACAAUGACCUUCCCACUAAGGAUGCCAAGAAGACAGAGAAAAUGGGCAGAGGGAAGAAUUCGUACCUUGGAGCUGAAGCCAAAUUAUUCCCUUGUCUCUCUCACAUGGAAGGAUCCUUCUCGACCAGCUGUAUGAGCCUUCACUUCCCCCAGCCAGCUAAUUUUCUCCUUCUCUGCCAAGCAGCCUUCAGUCAAUAAAAGUCUAAAUCCCCAAA
Columba livia (rock pigeon) is the source of this 517-nucleotide long non-coding RNA. RefSeq lists it as uncharacterized. The transcript has 2 exons. Lineage: Eukaryota; Metazoa; Chordata; Aves; Columbiformes; Columbidae. The record is from RefSeq and is a predicted model, not a curated record.